CACCUCUCGAGGUCGCACCUGGAGAGUUUCCAGUCCUGUCCUCUACCAGUCUCGACUAUGGGAGGGAGAGUCAAGCAGAGACCUGUCCAUUCCAUUCCUAGCUUGGCCAGUGGCUAGUGAGUGGAAGACAAUCUUCUACAAGU
Non-coding RNA from Ornithorhynchus anatinus (platypus), 143 nucleotides. The record is from Rfam. Lineage: Eukaryota; Metazoa; Chordata; Mammalia; Monotremata; Ornithorhynchidae.